ACGGGUGAGUAAUGUCUGGGAAACUGCCCGAUGGAGGGGGAUAACUACUGGAAACGGUAGCUAAUACCGCAUAACGUCGCAAGACCAAAGAGGGGGACCUUCGGGCCUCUUGCCAUCGGAUGUGCCCAGAUGGGAUUAGCUAGUUGGUGAGGUAAUGGCUCACCAAGGCGACGAUCCCUAGCUGGUCUGAGAGGAUGACCAGCCACACUGGAACUGAGACACGGUCCAGACUCCUACGGGAGGCAGCAGUGGGGAAUAUUGCACAAUGGGCGCAAGCCUGAUGCAGCCAUGCCGCGUGUGUGAAGAAGGCCUUCGGGUUGUAAAGCACUUUCAGCGGGGAGGAAGGCAGUACGGUUAAUAACCGUGUUGAUUGACGUUACCCGCAGAAGAAGCACCGGCUAACUCCGUGCCAGCAGCCGCGGUAAUACGGAGGGUGCAAGCGUUAAUCGGAAUUACUGGGCGUAAAGCGCACGCAGGCGGUCUGUCAAGUCGGAUGUGAAAUCCCCGGGCUCAACCUGGGAACUGCAUUCGAAACUGGCAGGCUUGAGUCUUGUAGAGGGGGGUAGAAUCCCAGGUGUAGC
This 581-nucleotide ribosomal RNA is filed under the name uncultured bacterium. Its description in RNAcentral is "bacterial SSU rRNA". It matches the Rfam family "Bacterial small subunit ribosomal RNA", at positions 102 to 679 of the family's 1533-position model. The record is from RNAcentral.